GGCACGGUGGCUUAGUGGUUAGCAUGCUUUCCACGCACCUCCAGGGUUGGGGGUUCGAUUCCUGCCUCUGCUC
This is a non-coding RNA of Pangasius djambal, 73 nucleotides long. NCBI's taxonomy places the organism in Eukaryota, Metazoa, Chordata, Actinopteri, Siluriformes, Pangasiidae. The record is from the annotation of a GenBank genome assembly.